Molecule: ribosomal RNA, 253 nt
Filed under: uncultured bacterium
Lineage: Bacteria
Description: partial 16S ribosomal RNA
Rfam family: Bacterial small subunit ribosomal RNA
Source: RNAcentral
GACAGAGGGUGCAAACGUUGCUCGGAAUUACUGGGCGUAAAGCGCGUGUAGGUGGAUUGGUGUGUCAGAUGUGAAAGCCCUGGGCUCAACCCAGGAACUGCACCUGAAACUACCAGUCUUGAGUGGUGGAGAGGGAUGCGGAAUUCCAGGUGUAGCGGUGAAAUGCGUAGAUAUCUGGAGGAACACCGGUGGCGAAGGCGGCAUCCUGGACCAAUUCUGACGCUGAGGAGCGAAAGCCAGGGGAGCAAACGGG